AACGAACGCUGGCGGCGUGCCUAACACAUGCAAGUCGAACGCGAAAGGGGGCAACCCCCGGUAGCGUGGCAGACGGGUGAGUAACACGUGGGUAACCUACCCGGAGGUGGGGGAUAACCCUUCGAAAGGAGGGCUAAUACCGCAUAAUACCGUGGGGACCUCGGUCCUUGCGAUCAAAGCUGGCCUCUGUUUACAAGCUAGCGCCACCGGAUGGGCCCGCGCCCCAUUAGCUAGUUGGUGAGGUAACGGCUCACCAAGGCGACGAUGGGUAGCCGGCCUGAGAGGGCGAUCGGCCACACUGGAACUGCGACACGGUCCAGACUCCUACGGGAGGCAGCAGUGGGGAAUUUUUGUCAAUGGGGGAAACCCUGAACAAGCAACGCCGCGUGAAGGACGAAGACCUUCGGGUUGUAAACUUCUGUCGGAGGGGACGAAAGCAUUUGCGGUCAAUACCCGUGAGUGUUGACGGUACCCUAAGAGGAAGCCCCGGCUAACUCCGUGCCAGCAGCCGCGGUAAUACGGGGGGGGCAAGCGUUGUUCGGAAUUACUGGGCGUAAAGGGCGCGUAGGCGGGCAGGAAAGUCUCUCGUGAAAUCCCACGGCUCAACCGUGGAAUUGCGGGAGAUACUCCUUGUCUUGAGUUCGGGAGAGGAGUGUGGAAUUCCCAGUGUAGCGGUGAAAUGCGUAGAUAUUGGGAGGAACACCGGUGGCGAAGGCGGCACUCUGGACCGAUACUGACGCUGAGGCGCGAAAGCUAGGGGAGCAAACGGGAUUAGAUACCCCGGUAGUCCUAGCCCUAAACGAUGAAUGCUUGGUGUGGCGGG
RNAcentral lists this ribosomal RNA (823 nucleotides) under uncultured bacterium. Its description in RNAcentral is "bacterial SSU rRNA". It matches the Rfam family "Bacterial small subunit ribosomal RNA", at positions 28 to 829 of the family's 1533-position model. The record is from RNAcentral.